GCUGCAUGUGAAUGUCUGCAGAGGUCAGAAGAAGGCAUCGGAUCAUCUGCAGCUGCAGUUGUAGAGCUGGGGACCAAAACCCAGGGCCUUGCGCUUGCUGGACAAGCACUCUACCACUGAGCUAAAUCCCCAACCCCGAUGAAGGAAACUCUUAUAAGGACAACAUUUAAUUGGGGCUGGCUCACAGGUUCAGAGGUUCAAUCUGUUAUCACCAAGGUGGGAACAUGGCAGUGUCCAAGCAGGCCUGGUGCAGGAGGAGCUGAGAGUUCUACAUCUUCAUCUGAAGGCUGCUAGCAGAAUACUGGUUUCCAGGCAGCUAAGAGGAGGGUCUUAAGCCCACACUCACAGUGACACACCCACUCCAACAAGGCCACACCUUCUAAUCGUGCUACUUCCUGGGCCAUGGAUACACAGACCAUCACAAAACAAAGUUAAUGGCCUAUAGAUAUAACUCUUCAGCUCACUCCCCUGUCACAUUGGUAAAGAAAAGGAGAUAUUUACCAAGACCAAGGGACAAUUGACUAAGACAUUGAGAUUAGACCACACUGUACUGGUUAGCCUUAACUGUCAACUUGGCAUAGCUAAGGUUCACCUGAGAAGAGGAUCCUAAUUGAGAGAUUGCCCAAAUCAGAUUAGCCAAUGGACAUGUAUGUGGGGGCUCUUGGUUGUUAGUUGACAGAGGCAGGUGCAGCCCAAUAUGGGUGACCUCA
Molecule: long non-coding RNA, 710 nt
Filed under: Rattus norvegicus (Norway rat)
Lineage: Eukaryota; Metazoa; Chordata; Mammalia; Rodentia; Muridae
Description: long non-coding RNA NONRATT017418
Source: RNAcentral